Molecule: long non-coding RNA, 193 nt
Organism: Strongylocentrotus purpuratus (purple sea urchin)
Lineage: Eukaryota; Metazoa; Echinodermata; Echinoidea; Camarodonta; Strongylocentrotidae
Exons: 3
Source: RefSeq, a predicted model, not a curated record
GAAUAUAGUAAAGCUAUUGCGGAUGACAUAGCAAAGAGGCUGAUCCUGACCCCACCACAGGACCAAGAAAGUUUGGAACCACGCAGCCAUACUUCUCGCAGCAGAGGCCCAAAUCCUGAAGAAGCAGAGGAUGAAUACGAAAAAGCUCUUGCGGAUGAAAUACCAAAGAGGCCGACCGUUACCUCACCACAGG